AGAAGCCCCAGGAGAAAGUCCAGAGUCACCCGAGGGUGCGGCCCCAGGGAGCUUCACGCAGCCAGCUCUGCAGCCAGCACCUAAGGAGGUGCCCGCGGGAGGAGGAGGGGGCGUGUGGGAUGCUCUGGCCGGGUGGGCUGCCUGGGAAGGGGUGGCUGACCGAGUUUGUCACUGAUGGAGACAUGGAAGUGUCCGCCAUGCACAGAUGGAGACUUGGCCAUCACUCCAUAGGGGAACACUUGAGCAGCAGGGACGACGGCCCCAGGCUGUGGAGUGGCUUCCCUGCCUUGCCGCCUGCUCCCUGUGCCCUUGCGGCUCCCACUGAGUGGGUAGAGACCGCUCGCCAGCCUUGCAGUCUAGGCUGGCCUUGGCUUGGACCCUUGGGAGACCUUCCAGCUUCCACUCUGUCUUGGAAGGAACCCUGACAGCCCUCUGAGAACAAGCCCGGGCCAGACUGCUGGGGGAUGUGUUGUCAUCGGGCAGCCAACCUCCAGCCUCCAGAACAGGCCCAUCGGAGAUCAGCACAGCCUGGAUCAGGCCAGCAGCACUGCCUGGGUGGCCCCGGCUCGUGAGCAAGUGUAGAUGCUUAUUGCUUUUGUCCACCGCGUCUCCAGGCUGCUGGGUUUGCAGCAGCAGCUGACCCAUCCACCACGGCCACCACGAGAGGUCACACAGGUACCACUUGAAGCUGCGACACUUCAGCCUCUGACGCAGGGCCAGCCUCUCAGACACGUCCCCGAAGUCCACCCCUGGGUUCUGCAAGGCCAGAAGUAGGUGAGAGGAGGGUCUGAGGCAGCUGCUCCUGAUGGGAAGGACCCUGCCAGAGGCCAGCCCCGGCCUGGACAGACGGCCCCUGCUGCAGCCGGCUCGUCCACACCCACCCGGGCCCAGGAACCUCCUGCCUGAGAAGACGGCCCUGCUCACCUGGCCUUACUGCACGGCAUCAGCCUGACCUCUGGAGGGUGGAGACUGAGGUCAGCCAUAUCCAGAGACCAGCCUGGCCUGAGUAGGACAGAAAGGCCGAGGCAGGGAGUGUUCACACACUCUGCUCGAUUCGGGCUGGGACGUGGGUCCUCCCCUGCCUUCAGGCUUGGAGCUCACGCCACCGGCUCUCCUGGGCGCCUGCCAGCCGACGGCCAAUCUCGGUACCCUCAGCCCCCGUAACCGGGACAGAUCCAGAGUCCGGGGCAGGAGGGAGCCGCUCCCUCCUCGCCGAGAUGACCACACAGCACGCAGCUAACGCCAGGCUCCC
This 1252-nucleotide long non-coding RNA is filed under the name Homo sapiens (human). RNAcentral describes it as "HSALNT0371913". Lineage: Eukaryota; Metazoa; Chordata; Mammalia; Primates; Hominidae. The record is from RNAcentral.